AUUGAACGCUGGCGGCAUGCUUUACACAUGCAAGUCGAACGGCAGCGCGGGCUUCGGCCUGGCGGCGAGUGGCGAACGGGUGAGUAAUACAUCGGAACGUGCCCAGUCGUGGGGGAUAGCUCGGCGAAAGCAGGAUUAAUACCGCAUACGACCUGAGGGUGAAAGCGGGGGAUCUUCGGACCUCGCGCUAUUGGAGCGGCCGAUGGCAGAUUAGCUAGUUGGUGGGGUAAAGGCCUACCAAGGCGACGAUCUGUAGCUGGUCUGAGAGGACGACCAGCCACACUGGGACUGAGACACGGCCCAGACUCCUACGGGAGGCAGCAGUGGGGAAUUUUGGACAAUGGGCGAAAGCCUGAUCCAGCAAUGCCGCGUGUGUGAUGAAGGCCUUCGGGUUGUAAAGCACUUUUGGCGGGAACGAAAAGGACUGUGCCAAUACCACGGUUCGAUGACGGUACCCGCAGAAUAAGCACCGGCUAACUACGUG
RNAcentral lists this ribosomal RNA (484 nucleotides) under uncultured bacterium. RNAcentral's name for it is "partial 16S ribosomal RNA". It matches the Rfam family "Bacterial small subunit ribosomal RNA", at positions 29 to 507 of the family's 1533-position model. The record is from RNAcentral.